This 327-nucleotide unclassified non-coding RNA is filed under the name soil metagenome. RNAcentral describes it as "partial contains 5.8S ribosomal RNA, internal transcribed spacer 2, and large subunit ribosomal RNA". The stretch from base 1 to 120 matches the Rfam family "5.8S ribosomal RNA", at positions 35 to 154 of the family's 154-position model. The record is from RNAcentral.
GAUGAAGAACGUAGCGAAAUGCGAUAAGUAAUGUGAAUUGCAGAAUUCAGUGAAUCAUCGAAUCUUUGAACGCACAUUGCGCCCCUUGGUAUUCCGAGGGGCAUGCCUGUUCGAGCGUCAUUAUAACCCCUCAAGCUCGGCUUGGUGUUGGGGCCUGCCGCGCGGGCAGCCCUUAAAAUCAGUGGCGGUGCCAUCUGGCUCUAAGCGUAGUAAUUCUUCUCGCUAUAGAGUCCCGGUGGAUGCUUGCCAUUAACCCCCAAUUUCAAUGGUUGACCUCGGAUCAGGUAGGGAUACCCGCUGAACUUAAGCAUAUCAAUAAGCGGAGGA